AGUGAACGCCGGCGGCGUGCUUAACACAUGCAAGUCGAACGAGAACGGAUUAUAGCUUGCUAUAAUUGUCAGCUAAGUGGCGCACGGGUGAGUAAUGUAUAGGUAAUAUGCCUCUUACUAAGGGAUAACAAAUGGAAACGUUUGCUAAUACCUUAUACUCCUUAUUAACAUAAGUUAAUAAGGGAAAGAUUUAUUGGUAAGAGAUUAGCCUGUAUUGUAUCAGUUAGUUGGUGGGGUAAUGGCUUACCAAGACUAUGACACAUAACUGGUUUGAGAGGAUGAUCAGUCACACUGGAACUGGGACACGGUCCAGACUCCUACGGGAGGCAGCAGUGGGGAAUAUUGCACAAUGGACGAAAGUCUGAUGCAGCAACGCCGCGUGGAGGAUGACACAUUUCGGUGCGUAAACUCCUUUUAUAUGAGAAGAUAAUGACGGUAUUAUAUGAAUAAGCACCGGCUAACUCCGUGCCAGCCGCCGCGGUAA
RNAcentral lists this ribosomal RNA (484 nucleotides) under uncultured bacterium. RNAcentral's name for it is "partial 16S ribosomal RNA". It matches the Rfam family "Bacterial small subunit ribosomal RNA", at positions 29 to 523 of the family's 1533-position model. The record is from RNAcentral.